UAGAGGUGUAGCCGCAGGGAAACCGAGUUCUAACCGAGCGUAGAGUGGCAUGCUGCAGACCCGAAGCGUUGUGAUCUACACGUGGCCAGGAUGAAGCGCGGGUAAUACCGCGUGGAGGUCCGAAUCCACCAAAGUUGAAAAUUUGGGGAAUGAGCUGCGUGUAGGGGUGAAAGGCUAAUCAAACUGCGUGAUAGCUGGUUCUCCCCGAAAAAUAUUUAGGUAUUGCCUCGGGACAUUCACUGUUGGAGGUAGAGCACUGAAAGGGCUAGGGGGCCUACCAGCCUACCAAACCUUAUCAAACUCCGAAUGCCAGCAAGUGUUAUCCCGGGAGGCAGUCUACGAGUGAUAAGAUUCGUGGACGAGAGGGAAAGAGCCCAGAUCGCCAGCUAAGGUCCCCAAAUCUAUGCUAAGUGGAGAACGAUGUGGGAGCGCUUAGACAACCAGGAGGUUGGCUUAGAAGCAGCCAUCCUUGAAAGAAAGCGUAACAGCUCACUGGUCUAGCGAACCUGCGCGGAAAAUAUAACGGGGC
Molecule: ribosomal RNA, 529 nt
Filed under: uncultured bacterium
Lineage: Bacteria
Description: bacterial LSU rRNA
Rfam family: Bacterial large subunit ribosomal RNA
Source: RNAcentral